GCUGCUCGUUUCAGCAGCAUAGUAUUAAAACUGGAAGGAUACAGAGAUGAGCACAGUCCCUGCGCAAGGAUGACACACACAUUCGUGAAGAGCUUCCAUAUUUU
This is a small nuclear RNA of Manis javanica (Malayan pangolin), 104 nucleotides long. The record is from RefSeq and is a predicted model, not a curated record. Lineage: Eukaryota; Metazoa; Chordata; Mammalia; Pholidota; Manidae.